UUACGACGUCAACAAUUUCAUUAUAGCUUCAUUGGCAUGUACGAGUGACAUUGCAAAAAUGGAGCGAGCUAAACUGUUGAUAAUUGUUUUCUUAGGAGUGCUGACAUUCCUGUUUGAAUGUCCAACCGGCAGUGUUGCUGCCAGAAUCUGCCCAUUGCGGGCUGAACCCGUUUAUCCUGCACAGGAAAACGGCAUUUUGCGGUGCGCGUGCAAGCGCCCGUUCUUUGGGACGAAUUGUCGCUACAAACAGCAAAAUGGAACCAUUGCGCUGAACGCGACAAGACUGACCAAGGAGUCGGUGUUGAUGAAAUGGAAAGAGAAUGCCGAGCCGAAUGAAGGGCGAAGAUACUUGAUAUCUGUUCGCAAAGUUGAGUUCAAACUCUCAACUGUCAAACUUCAUAAAUGGCAGAAGGCAUCCAUCAAGUACAUGGAACCUAACAACACCCUGUUCAAGUCUCAACAAGAGACAGAAUCAAGCGACGACCUCAGUGCGAAGGAAAUGUAUACUGACUAUACUGCUGUUCUUCGACUGCCAGGGACGUCUUCAUACGAGGUCAAGAUCACUACUCUCUCGGACGCUGGAACCGCUGGAAACCAUGUUGGGUCAACAUCUGCAAUCUUUGAUGCCUCGGACGCUUUUGUGAAUGGAACAAUGCUGGGCAUUUCAGAGAAAAUGGACCAAUUUAAGAACUAUCUUUUUGAAAGCUUUGAGGACGGCUGCGCUCUUAAAGGAAUGGUAAUCGGUGUUGUUGUUGGAACUCUUGCAACACUGAUUAUCAUAACCAUGGUAUAUGUCCUCAGCAGGUAUUAACAGCAAGCACUUUGAAGUAACAGCAAAGAAAACAAACCCCAACCAAUGGCAACGUGUAGUUUAACAAAAUAUUAUGAUUUAUGUUGCAGAUAUUGCUGUAAAUGCGUAAGAUAUUGCUGCAAGAAACGCGGUAACAAUUCUGGUGUAAAACUGAAUAGAAGUGGGCAGACAUCAAGCACUAAAACACCUGAACCUUAUGUCAUUAUUGAUAUAUACGGCUUUGACCCUAUUCCAGCAGAUACAACUGAAGUAACUCAACGAG
RNAcentral lists this unclassified non-coding RNA (1073 nucleotides) under Dendronephthya gigantea. RNAcentral's name for it is "uncharacterized LOC114543990, transcript variant X1". Lineage: Eukaryota; Metazoa; Cnidaria; Anthozoa; Malacalcyonacea; Nephtheidae. The record is from RNAcentral.